This 311-nucleotide ribosomal RNA is filed under the name uncultured bacterium. Its description in RNAcentral is "bacterial SSU rRNA". It matches the Rfam family "Bacterial small subunit ribosomal RNA", at positions 28 to 334 of the family's 1533-position model. The record is from RNAcentral.
GAUGAACGCUGGCGGCGUGCCUAAUACAUGCAAGUCGAACGAAGUACAAGAAGCUUGCUUCUUGUAACUGAGUGGCGAACGGGUGAGUAAUACAUAAGCAACCUGCCUUAAUGCCUGGGAUAACAGUUGGAAACGAUUGCUAAUACCGGAUAAUGUUAUUUGGGGGCAUCCCUGAAUAACCAAAGCUUUAUGUGCUGAAAGAUGGCCUCGCGUCUGAUUAGCUAGAUGGCGGGGUAACGGCCCACCAUGGCGACGAUCAGUAGCCGGUCUGAGAGGAUGAACGGCCACAUUGGGACUGAGAUACGGCCCAG